GAUGAACGCUGGCGGCGUGCCUAAUACAUGCAAGUCGGGCGAACGGACGAGAAGCUUGCUUCUCUGAUGUUAGCGGGGGGCGGGUGAGUAACACGUGGAUAACAUACAUAUAAGACUGGGAAAACUUCGGGAAACCGGCGCUAAUAGCGGAUAAUAUUUUGCACCGCAUGGUUCAAAAGUGAAAGGCGGUUUUGGUGACACUUAUAGAUGGAUCCGCGCUGCAUUAGCUAGUUGGUAAGGUAACGGCUUACCAAGGCAACGAUGCAUAGCCGACCUGAGAGGGUGAUCGGCCACACUGGAACUGAGACACGGUCCAGACUCCUACGGGAGGCAGCAGUAGGGAAUCUUCCGCAAUGGGCGAAAGCCUGACGGAGCAACGCCGCGUGAGUGAUGAAGGUCUUCGGAUCGUAAAACUCUGUUAUUAGGGAAGAACAUAUGUGUAAGUAACUGUGCACAUCUUGACGGUACCUAAUCAGAAAGCCACGGCUAACUACGU
Molecule: ribosomal RNA, 496 nt
Filed under: uncultured bacterium
Lineage: Bacteria
Description: partial 16S ribosomal RNA
Rfam family: Bacterial small subunit ribosomal RNA
Source: RNAcentral